UUUCCGUAGGUGAACCUGCGGAAGGAUCAUUACCGAGCGAGGGCCCCUCUGGGGCCAACCUCCCACCCGUGUCUAUCGUACCUUGUUGCUUUGGCGGGCCCGCCUCACGGCCGCCGGGGGGCAUCUGCCCCCGGGCCCGCGCCCGCCGAAGACACCCAUGAACUCUGUCUGAAGAUUGCAGUCUGAGUGGAAUGAUAAAUCAAUCAAAACUUUCAACAACGGAUCUCUUGGUUCCGGCAUCGAUGAAGAACGCAGC
RNAcentral lists this unclassified non-coding RNA (256 nucleotides) under uncultured fungus. RNAcentral describes it as "sequence contains ITS1, 5.8S rRNA gene". The stretch from base 208 to 256 matches the Rfam family "5.8S ribosomal RNA", at positions 1 to 49 of the family's 154-position model. Lineage: Eukaryota; Fungi. The record is from RNAcentral.